Molecule: small nucleolar RNA, 107 nt
Organism: Lactuca sativa (garden lettuce)
Lineage: Eukaryota; Viridiplantae; Streptophyta; Magnoliopsida; Asterales; Asteraceae
Source: RefSeq, a predicted model, not a curated record
AGAUCGUGAUGUGGGCAAUUCCUUAGUAAACCUUUAUAUCUCUCCCAUGCCUCAUAAAGGGACUCUCCAGCUUGCUGUUCAAAGUUAGCUAUGACUUUCUUCAACUU